This is a non-coding RNA of Coturnix japonica (Japanese quail), 350 nucleotides long. NCBI's taxonomy places the organism in Eukaryota, Metazoa, Chordata, Aves, Galliformes, Phasianidae. The record is from RefSeq and is a predicted model, not a curated record.
GUGUGCAGAAGGAUGUAAAUAAAGGCAGGAGUUCAGGAGAGGUGAAGAAUACAAAGAGAUAAAAUAGAAUGGAGUGACGCAUUAUUGCAACACACAGGCCUAGAACAAGUUGGGUCCUGGGUAGAGUAAUACAAAAUCUUGGAAUGGGAUCAACACUUGAAAGAAAUAUUUACAAUCUUUCUUCUGCAGCUGCCAAGAUAGGCUAGAACACGAGACCUCAGUAAACCUGAGAGGCUACCAGACAAGAAGGCACUUGAUAGUAGCGGUUGCAGAGGGUGAUGUAGUGAACUCUUCAGUUUGAGUUCUUCAAACCUGGAGAUCAGAAGUUCAAAGAGAAAAAGUGAUGCAAG